RNAcentral lists this ribosomal RNA (3648 nucleotides) under Triticum aestivum (bread wheat). RNAcentral describes it as "partial small subunit ribosomal RNA". The record is from RNAcentral. Lineage: Eukaryota; Viridiplantae; Streptophyta; Magnoliopsida; Poales; Poaceae.
AUGGAUCCGCUCCGGAGCUACCUGGGGCGGGUCCUCCUCGAGGACGUCACCCCGGUGGUGAUGGUGCUGACCACCCCGCUCGCCGAGGCCGCGUGCCGCAAGAGCGGCCUCAGCUUCGUCGACAUGCUCUCCCCGUUCUCCCUCUUCAAAAAAAUCGACGUGCCCGUUCGCACAGCGAGUGACCAGCCUUACAGGCUCCAACAGUUCAAGAUUCGGAUGGUGUAUGCGUCGGAUGUCCGGAAGCAGGACUGCGAGGUUGCAGAUGCAAGAAUUAAGCUGGUCGUUUCCGAGGCCAACGAGAACGCUCUUCCGGAUUUGCUUUCAGACCCGCCACAGUUGGAAGAUGUACUCAAAAAGCCUGAAGCUGAGUUGUGCCCAUUGUGGAUUAAGAGGUUCAACAGAGAGCUAGUGCGGACACUGUCCUUUUCAGACCAUGAAACAUUUGAUCACCCCGUGGCAUGUCUUUUAGUUGUAUCGUCAAAGGACAAAGAGCCAAUCAGCAAAUUCGCUGAUCUGUUCAACACAAAUCAGUUGCCUCCUCUUUUAAAUGAAGGCAUAAUGGAUCCCCAGAUUCUGAAGCACUAUCUUGUACUUCAUGAACAACAAGAUGGACCACAAGAGAUAGCUGUGAACAUCUUAGCGGAAAUGAGGACCACCCUGGGCGUGAAUGAUUGUAAAUUGCUGAGUAUUAACUCUUCUACACAAGCGGAUGGCAGUGAUGCUGAUAAUUCGUGGUCAACCUAUAAAGCUCAUGGCCUGCACAAUAAUGAAGGAACUUGUUUCCUUAACAUGGAUGAUUUGAACGAGAUAAAGGAUUUUAUGCAAGAUUUUGCUUCUAAUCAUAUCAUUCCCUACAUGGAGCAAAAGAUCCGUGUGCUCAAUCAGCAGGUAGCCACAACAAGAAAGGGCUUCAGAAAUCAGAUAAAGAACUUGUGGUGGAGAAAGAGAGAUGAUGUCCCAGAAGCUGCAAAUGGCCCAAUGUAUACAUUCACCUCCAUAGAGUCGCAGAUCAGAGUUCUCAGUGACUAUGCUUUCAUGUUAAGAGACUACGAGCUUGCUUUGUCCAAUUACAGAUUACUUUCGACAGAUUAUAAGCUUGAUAAAGCUUGGAAGCGUUUUGCUGGUGUUCAGGAGAUGAGUGGACUUUGCUAUUUCAUGUUAGAUCAGUCAAGGAAGGAUGCUGAAUAUUGCAUGGAAAAUGCCUUCACUACAUAUUUGAGAAUUGGAUCUUCUGGUCAGAGAAAUGCUACUAGAUGUGGCCUUUGGUGGGCAGAAAUGCUUAAAACACGAGGACAACAUAGGGAAGCAUCAACUGUUUAUUUCCGCAUAUCAAAUGAGGAACCUUCCUUGCAUUCUGCUGUGCUGCUUGAGCAAGCUGCUUGUUGCUAUUUGCUGUCAAGUCCACAUAUGCUUCGGAAGUAUGGAUUUCACCUCAUCUUAGCUGGCAAUAGUUACUACUUGUCUGAUCAGAAACAACAUGCUGUUCGGGCAUACAGAAACGCUCUGUUUGUCUACAAACAAAAUCCUUGGAGUUACAUCAACAAUCAUGUACAUUUUAAUGUUGGGAGGUGGUAUGGAGUCCUUGGGAUAUUCGAUGUAGCUAUCAAGCACUUGCUGGAGGUUAUUGCUUGUAGCCAUCAGUCGCUGACAACGCAAAGCAUGUUCCUCAAUGAUUUCUUCCAUUUUGUUCAGAGUACAGGGGAAAAGUUUGAUGUAUACAAGCUUCAACUUCCUGUUUUCAACAUGUCAUCACUCAGAGUUGUAAAUGAAGAUCAUCGCACUUACGCAUCAAAUGCAGAUGUUGAUGUUAAUGAAAGCAUUUGGCAGGAGCUGGAAGAAGAAUUGAUCCCAUCAUCAUCUGUUGUUAGAACUAACUGGCUUGACACUCAGCCAAAAUCUUCUCCUUUUAGAAAUAACAAGGCAUGUAUUUGUGUUGCUGGAGUUGAAAGUGAUGGAAACAAUUUCACAGUAUCGAAGCUUGACAUUGUAUUAGGAGGAGGUGAAACCAAAAAAAUACAACUUGAAGUGACUCCAAAAGUUAUAGGUAUUCUGAAGUUAGUUGGGAUAAGGUGGACCCUGUCAGAUUCGGUAGUAGGCUAUCAGUACUUCGAAGUGGCUACACAAAAGAAAAACAAGAAAGGGAAAAGAGGGGCCCGGCGUUCUUUGAACAACAACCUGAUCGUUAUCAAGGGUUUACCUAAACUUACAGGAUAUAUUGAGUGCUUGCCAGCAAAAGCAUUUACUGGUGAUUUACAACUCCUCACGCUGAAUCUGAGAAACCAAUCAGAACAUGCUGUGAAGAAUAUAAAAAUGAAAAUUAGCCAUCCAAGGUUUGUAAUUCCCGGUGAUUCAUCAGACCUUGACCUUGAAUUCCCACAGUGCUUAAGAAAGCAUGUUCAAUCAGACAGCAACACUGUACCCGAAGGUACUAAGGAAAACGUCAAGGGUUCACUAUUUGCAUUUCCUCAGGAUAUUAAAAUUCAAGGUGAUGCCACAUUCUCUUGGCCUAUUUGGUUUCAUGCCGCAACUCCUGGAAACUUCUCUCUUUAUUUGUCUCUCUAUUAUGAAAUGGAGAGUACCACUGACAUUCCGUAUCGCACAUUGCGCAUGCAUUACAAUGUGGAGGUCUUGCCGUCACUUGAUGUGUCCUUUGCUAUAAGUAUGUGCUCAUCAAGAUUCCAAGAGUAUAUUGUGCGAAUGGACGUAAUCAACAAGACUCCAUCAGACUCAUUCGCACUUCAUCAAUUGUCAUGUGUCCGCACUAAAUGGGCAGUUUCAACAUUACCCUCGCGUGAUUCCAUCAGCUUUGUGGAAACAGUACCAGCAAACCAGGCUGUGUCAUGCUUCUUCAAGAUAAAGGAUUUAAGUACAAGUUCAUGUAUUGAGGCGGCAGACGGUUCCUGUGGAAGUGAUAUAGUUUUAUCUCCUGGGGGUAGUACUGAUGUAUUUGAUGUUUCUCGGACUCCUAUCACUGAUUUCCACUAUCAAGAAAGACACCAACAAGGGAAGUUUGCUAAGGUGCCACGUAGUCUACUUGAUUUUAUUCUGAUCUCAAAGGCAGUAGCUGUUAACUCUUCCAAGACAGAACAACUGCUCUCUCAUCAUACCUGCCACUGCAGUGCUCUCAACCAGAAUCCUGUGUGGUGGCUUAUGGAAGGACCUCGAACAAUUACUCAUGAUUUCUCGAAGUCAUGCUGUGAGGCUAACAUCCAACUGGUGAUUCACAAUUCUUCAGACCAUAACACUAGCGUGAGAGUGGUUACAUCUGACUGUAUGCCUGAGAAAAGCCAAACUGCCCCUUCACAUGAAUCUGCCAGUGGUCAGGGUGGAUGGUAUGACGUAUCUCUGGAAAAUGACGUAAAGGCCAUCUCAAGUACCAAGGGGGCACAUUCUCAGAAACAAUCAUCAGAAAGCAUUUCACCGUUUGUUUGGUGCUCAUUGAGUUCCGCUCAAGUUGAUCUGAAACCUGACAGUUCUGCUAAAAUUCCCCUAAAAGUGUGCAUAUUUGCACCCGGAACGUAUGAUUUUUCAACGUAUGAGCUGCACUGGAAAGUGCAUUCAUCUGAGAGUGGACAGGUGGAUGAAAAUGUGACAUCAGGUGGUGGCCAAGGGUAUCCUUUCUAUGUCAAUGUUCUUCAAGGCGCCUGA